AUACGUAGGGGGCGAGCGUUGUCCGGAAUGAUUGGGCGUAAAGGGCGCGUAGGCGGCCCGGUAAGUCUGGAGUGAAAGUCCUGUUUUUAAGAUGGGAAUUGCUUUGGAUACUGUCGGGCUUGAGUGCAGGAGAGGUAAGUGGAAUUCCCAGGGUAGCGGGGAAAUGCGUAGAGAUUGGGAGGAACACCAGUGGCGAAGGCGACUUACUGGACUGUAACUGACGCUGAGGCGCGAAAGUGUGGGGAGCAAACAGGAUUAGAUACCCUGGUAGUCCACACUGUAAACGAUGAAUGCUAGGUGUAGGGGGUAUCGACCCCUUCUGUGCCGCAGUCAACACAAUAAGCAUUCCGCCUGGGGAGUACGGCCGCAAGGUUGAAACUCAAAGGAAUUGACGGGG
This 397-nucleotide ribosomal RNA is filed under the name uncultured bacterium. RNAcentral's name for it is "partial 16S ribosomal RNA". It matches the Rfam family "Bacterial small subunit ribosomal RNA", at positions 523 to 918 of the family's 1533-position model. The record is from RNAcentral.